UCCGUAGGCGGGCGUCUAAGUCAGUGAUGAAAUCUUACAGCUCAACUGUAAAAUUGCCAUUGAUACUGGAUGUCUUGAAUUAGUGUGAAGUGGUUAGAAUGUGUAGUGUAGCGGUGAAAUGCAUAGAUAUUACACAGAAUACCAAUUGCGAAGGCAGAUCACUAACACUAUAUUGACGCUGAGGGACGAAAGCGUGGGGAGCGAACAGGAUUAGAUACCCUGGUAGUCC
This 229-nucleotide ribosomal RNA is filed under the name uncultured bacterium. Its description in RNAcentral is "partial 16S ribosomal RNA". It matches the Rfam family "Bacterial small subunit ribosomal RNA", at positions 568 to 796 of the family's 1533-position model. The record is from RNAcentral.